RNAcentral lists this long non-coding RNA (423 nucleotides) under Homo sapiens (human). Its description in RNAcentral is "HSALNT0296107". The record is from RNAcentral. Lineage: Eukaryota; Metazoa; Chordata; Mammalia; Primates; Hominidae.
UCUCUCUUUCCCAGCCAUGGCCUCUCAGCCACCAGUCACCUCUUCCCCCAACCCCCUGACCUCCCACUUCUCUUCUCAAUUCAACUGCUCUUCAGGAUUUCUGGUUGCACUACCUCUGGAGACAAGACUCUAGCAUUUGUUCUUGCCUGCCAUGGGAAGCUUUGGGAAGAAGCCAGCUGCCAUGUUGUGAGAACUCUCAAGCAGCUGUGUGGAGAGAUCCAUGUGGUGAGGAACUGAAGCCUCCUACCCACCAUCAAGUCAGUGGCUCACUACUGUUGCAGUGAAUUCUCCAGCCCAUGAAGACUUUAGAUGAUUUACCCAACAUCUUGAUUAUAGCCUCAUGGAUUCCCUGAGCCAGAACAACCCAGCUAAGCCUCUCCUGAAUUCCUUACCUACAGAAACUGUGAGAUAAUAAAUAUUUAU